UAGCUCAGUCAGUUGAGCGUAGCGCUAACAACACUAAGGUCGCAGGUUCGAUUCCUGU
This 58-nucleotide transfer RNA is filed under the name Apaloderma vittatum (bar-tailed trogon). It matches the Rfam family "tRNA", at positions 8 to 63 of the family's 71-position model. Rfam says of the family: Transfer RNA (tRNA) molecules are approximately 80 nucleotides in length. Their secondary structure includes four short double-helical elements and three loops (D, anti-codon, and T loops). Lineage: Eukaryota; Metazoa; Chordata; Aves; Trogoniformes; Trogonidae. The record is from Rfam by way of RNAcentral.